GGGGGUGUACCGGUUUCGACGGGGAUAGUGAGGCCGGAAUAGCGAGCCGUGGCGCCUUACCACGAUAAAAAGGGCAACUUUUUCAAAAUUAACUGACAACAAUCAGUACGCUUUCGCUGCUUAAUUAGCGGCCAUCCGCCCCGGAAGGUCCACGAGCCGGGCUCGGGUGUGAUUUGAGUGGAGAACGUGCGCACGGUAAGCUUUGCCCGUGCCAUGCAUCAAUGAAGCUACUGAAUCCGGAAGGGUGUUUGUUCCCGCUCGGAUGAGGGAAUGUAAAUAACAAACUGCGCUCGGAGAAGUUCUUGUCAAGCUGUUUUCGGACGGGGGUUCGACUCCCCCCACCUCCACCA
Molecule: transfer-messenger RNA, 350 nt
Filed under: human gut metagenome
Rfam family: transfer-messenger RNA
About the family: Bacterial tmRNA, also known as 10Sa RNA or SsrA, is named for its dual tRNA and mRNA-like properties. Its role is to liberate the mRNA from a stalled ribosome.
Source: RNAcentral